GCACGGUAACUUCCAGGCAGGGUGUUUUCCAUUUCAUCGACAUGAUCUGGAUGCCAACGAAAUGAAGACCAUUUCUGGCGAAGGAAAUGACAGAUUAAAUUAUAGCGGGUCGGCUGCUCCAAGCUUGCCUUAUGGCUGAGAUGAUGCAGAAGAUUUGCUUCUUUCCCAUGUCCCCCAGUCUCGUAGAAAAGGACUGCAAGACUUUAUGUCUAGUACAGAUUUCACAAAGUAUUUUGACAAAAAGAGAGUCUUCACUGGUGGGCAGUGCAGAGAAAUUGAACUGAGCGGGUGUGGAGAGCAGCACUGUCGCUGUCCGUGUUUGGAAAUGGUGAGUGCAUAGUGUCUCAUUCCUGGGGGUAUGGGAAUUCCUAGCCAAGAAACAAAACGGCUGUUGCAAGAAAUCACUAACCAGUGCCACCAGGACUGGUGUCCCGCAGCUUUUCCAGUGCAGAGGGGAAGAUGUGGGUGCAGAAAUGCCUGAAUCUUUUAUGGUUUUUUGGAUGAAUCUGGAGAAACUCAAAUGGUGUUAUAAGGGCCAAAAGUUUAUCUGUUCUGGACAUGGUAACAGAACGUGUCAGGAUGGACUAUGAGGAGUUUGGGAGGGAGCCCGCUGCCCUCUUUUCUUACCCCUCCAUUCCAAAAUUACUUAAAAUAUUGCUGAAAUUCCAGUAUUAAAACAGAGCAGAUAUUCAUCUUCUGUAUAAGAAUUCUUGCACCUUUUGGUAACAUAAAAGCUGAUCUUGGUAUCCCUGUACAAAAAUCUCUGUUCUUUGCAAUGUUGAACAUGAUGGUUCUUGUCCUGAAGGUUUCUGCCCUUCACACUAGCAGCGCCUGUAUGUUGUCGGCACUGAAAUCAUGGCAAAUCAUCUAGAAGCCCUCUGGAAUCACUUACUCUUAUAUACGACCUUUUAAGAUUUAAAAAACCUGAAAUCAAAUAAUCCAUUAGUAACUUCAUCUGGAAAGGAUUGGAGUCCAAUAGAGAACAGGCACAUGAAGGUACUUGUGCACUCCCCAUUCUGGGAAGUGGUUUAGUGUACUGUGUUUAUAAGCCAACCAAUGUCUAAAAUCAAACCAAGGCAUAGCAAGAGCAGGGCAGACAUCAAGGUAGGGAUGAUGUCUGAGCAUGCUGGUGGCUGGGAGAGGAGCCCGUACUUCCCUUGAAGUCCCAGCGUCAAAG
RNAcentral lists this long non-coding RNA (1177 nucleotides) under Numida meleagris (helmeted guineafowl). Its description in RNAcentral is "lncRNA (ENSNMEG00000018468.1)". Lineage: Eukaryota; Metazoa; Chordata; Aves; Galliformes; Numididae. The record is from RNAcentral.